This 86-nucleotide transfer RNA is filed under the name Storeatula sp. CCMP1868. RNAcentral describes it as "tRNA-Leu". It matches the Rfam family "tRNA". Rfam says of the family: Transfer RNA (tRNA) molecules are approximately 80 nucleotides in length. The record is from RNAcentral. Lineage: Eukaryota; Cryptophyceae; Pyrenomonadales; Pyrenomonadaceae.
GCUUGCUUGGUGAAAAUGGUAUACACAAAAGACUUAAAAUCUUUUUUCUAUAACUAGAAAUGCUGGUUCAAGUCCAGCAGCAAGUA